Molecule: ribosomal RNA, 465 nt
Filed under: uncultured bacterium
Lineage: Bacteria
Description: partial 16S ribosomal RNA
Rfam family: Bacterial small subunit ribosomal RNA
Source: RNAcentral
GACGAACGCUGGCGGCGUGCUUAACACAUGCAAGUCGAACGGAAAGGCCCUGCUUGCAGGGUACUCGAGUGGCGAACGGGUGAGUAACACGUGGGUGAUCUGCCCUGCACUUCGGGAUAAGCCUGGGAAACUGGGUCUAAUACCGGAUAGGAGCCAUUUUUAGUGUGAUGGUUGGAAAGUUUUUUCGGUGUAGGAUGAGCUCGCGGCCUAUCAGCUUGUUGGUGGGGUAAUGGCCUACCAAGGCGGCGACGGGUAGCCGGCCUGAGAGGGUGGACGGCCACAUUGGGACUGAGAUACGGCCCAGACUCCUACGGGAGGCAGCAGUGGGGAAUAUUGCACAAUGGGCGCAAGCCUGAUGCAGCGACGCCGCGUGGGGGAGGACGGCCUUCGGGUUGGAAACUCCUUUCGCUAGGGACGAAGCUUUUUGUGACGGUACCUAGAGAAGAAGCACCGGCUAACUACGUG